RNAcentral lists this ribosomal RNA (647 nucleotides) under uncultured bacterium. Its description in RNAcentral is "bacterial SSU rRNA". It matches the Rfam family "Bacterial small subunit ribosomal RNA", at positions 856 to 1502 of the family's 1533-position model. The record is from RNAcentral.
CGCAUUAAGUACCCCGCCUGGGGAGUACGGCCGCAAGGCUAAAACUCAAAGGAAUUGACGGGGCCCCGCACAAGCGGCGGAGCAUGCGGAUUAAUUCGAUGCAACGCGAAGAACCUUACCUGGGUUUGACAUAUAUCGGAAACGUUCAGAGAUGGGCGCCCCGUAAGGUCGGUAUACAGGUGGUGCAUGGCUGUCGUCAGCUCGUGUCGUGAGAUGUUGGGUUAAGUCCCGCAACGAGCGCAACCCUCGUCCAAUGUUGCCAGCGGGUUAUGCCGGGGACUCAUUGGAGACCGCCGGGGUCAACUCGGAGGAAGGUGGGGAUGACGUCAAGUCAUCAUGCCCCUUAUGUCCAGGGCUUCACGCAUGCUACAAUGGCCGGUACAAAGAGUUGCGAGCCUGUGAGGGUGAGCGAAUCUCAAAAAGCCGGUCUCAGUUCGGAUUGGGGUCUGCAACUCGACCCCAUGAAGUCGGAGUCGCUAGUAAUCGCAGAUCAGCAACGCUGCGGUGAAUACGUUCCCGGGGCUUGUACACACCGCCCGUCAAGUCAUGAAAGUCGGUAACACCCGAAGCCGGUGGNNNNNNCCGUUUGGGGGGGAGCUGUCGAAGGUGGGACUGGUAAUUAGGNNUAAGUCGUAACAAGGUAGCCC